This 253-nucleotide ribosomal RNA is filed under the name uncultured bacterium. Its description in RNAcentral is "partial 16S ribosomal RNA". It matches the Rfam family "Bacterial small subunit ribosomal RNA", at positions 524 to 776 of the family's 1533-position model. The record is from RNAcentral.
UACGUAGGGUGCUAGCGUUGUCCGGAAUUAUUGGGCGUAAAGAGCUCGUAGGCGGUUUGUCGCGUCGAAUGUGAAAACCCGGGGCUCAACCCCGGGCCUGCAGUGGGUACGGGCAGACUAGAGUGCGGUAGGGGAGACUGGAAUUCCUGGUGUAGCGGUGAAAUGCGCAGAUAUCAGGAGGAACACCGAUGGCGAAGGCAGGUCUCUGGGCCGUAACUGACGCUGAGGAGCGAAAGUGUGGGGAGCGAACAGG